GUCGAACGGUAACAGGAAGCAGCUUGCUGCUUCGCUAACGAGUGGCGGACGGGUGAGUAAUGUCUGGGAAACUGCCUGAUGGAGGGGGAUAACUACUGGAAACGGUAGCUAAUACCGCAUAACGUCGCAAGACCAAAGAGGGGGACCUUCGGGCCUCUUGCCAUCGGAUGUGCCCAGAUGGGAUUAGCUAGUAGGUGGGGUAACGGCUCACCUAGGCGACGAUCCCUAGCUGGUCUGAGAGGAUGACCAGCCACACUGGAACUGAGACACGGUCCAGACUCCUACGGGAGGCAGCAGUGGGGAAUAUUGCACAAUGGGCGCAAGCCUGAUGCAGCCAUGCCGCGUGUAUGAAGAAGGCCUUCGGGUUGUAAAGUACUUUCAGCGGGGAGGAAGGCGAUAAGGUUAAUAACCUUGUCGAUUGACGUUACCCGCAGAAGAAGCACCGGCUAACUCCGUGCCGGCAGCCGCGGUAAUACGGAGGGUGCAAGCGUUAAUCGGAAUUACUGGGCGUAAAGCGCACGCAGGCGGUCUGUCAAGUCGGACGUGAAAUCCCCGGGCUCAACCUGGGAACUGCAUUCGAAACUGGCAGGCUAGAGUCUUGUAGAGGGGGGUAGAAUUCCAGGUGUAGCGGUGAAAUGCGUAGAGAUCUGGAGGA
Molecule: ribosomal RNA, 655 nt
Filed under: uncultured bacterium
Lineage: Bacteria
Description: bacterial SSU rRNA
Rfam family: Bacterial small subunit ribosomal RNA
Source: RNAcentral